CCUGGUAUGGGGGACAACGGUCUCGAAAGGAACGCUAAUACCGCAUACGUCCUACGGGAGAAAGCGGGGGACCUUCGGGGCCUUGCGCUAUCAGAUGAGCCUAGGUCGGAUUAGCUAGUUGGUGAGGUAACGGCUCACCAAGGCUGCGAUCCGUAACUGGUCUGAGAGGAUGAUCAGUCACACUGGAACUGAGACACGGUCCAGACUCCUACGGGAGGCAGCAGUGGGGAAUAUUGGACAAUGGGCGAAAGCCUGAUCCAGCCAUGCCGCGUGUGUGAAGAAGGUCUUCGGAUUGUAAAGCACUUUAAGUUGGGAGGAAGGGCAGUAAGUUAAUACCUUGCUGUUUUGACGUUACCGACAGAAUAAGCACCGGCUAACUUCGUGCCAGCAGCCGCGGUAAUACGAAGGGUGCAAGCGUUAAUCGGAAUUACUGGGCGUAAAGCGCGCGUAGGUGGUUUGUUAAGUUGGAAGUGAAAGCCCCGGGCUCAACCUGGGAACUGCUUUCAAAACUGGCAAGCUAGAGUAUGGCAGAGGGUGGUGAAAUUUCCUGUGUAG
Molecule: ribosomal RNA, 555 nt
Filed under: uncultured Pseudomonas sp.
Lineage: Bacteria; Pseudomonadati; Pseudomonadota; Gammaproteobacteria; Pseudomonadales; Pseudomonadaceae
Description: bacterial SSU rRNA
Rfam family: Bacterial small subunit ribosomal RNA
Source: RNAcentral